UACAGAGGUCUCAAGCGUUGUUCGGAUUUAUUGGGUUUAAAGGGUGCGUAGGCGGGUUAUUAAGUCAGUGGUGAAAGCCUUCAGCUUAACUGAAGAAUUGCCAUUGAUACUGAUGAUCUUGAGUAUGAUUGAGGUGGGCGGAAUGUGUCAUGUAGCGGUGAAAUGCUUAGAUAUGACACAGAACACCGAUUGCGAAGGCAGCUCACUAAGUCAUAACUGACGCUGAUGCACGAAAGCGUGGGGAGCAAACAGG
RNAcentral lists this ribosomal RNA (253 nucleotides) under uncultured bacterium. RNAcentral describes it as "partial 16S ribosomal RNA". It matches the Rfam family "Bacterial small subunit ribosomal RNA", at positions 524 to 776 of the family's 1533-position model. The record is from RNAcentral.